GUUCAGCUACUAUAUUUGUAAUAGAAACUAUUAUGAAAACAACAACAACGCCGACAGUAGAAAAAGAUGCAAGCAGGGUUUGGACUUUUUAGAUCCGUCCUUCCAUCAUCUCGUGCCAACAAAUCGAUUCCUCAAUCGUAUAAAACCUUCCGCCAAUAUCACAUAAUGCCUCAUUUAGUCUAGGUUUUAUAGCAUCAAAAAAACCAUGCUACCCAAUCAAACAAACAAACAAACAAACACAAAAAGUAAACAAGAUAACAAAAAUAUAUUUGAGUAAUGAAAAAUAAUCUAAAUUACUUGGAGAAAACUGAUCUUGGUAUACAAUAAGAAGGAACAGACAUCUGAAACUUUAAACUUUUUCUGGAUAAACUUUUUUUUUCUUCUUCCAGAAUUACAAGACAAAAAGGAUGGAUGGCCUAGACACUACGCAUAUCUGAUUCCCAAAAACUGGAGCUGGGUAAUUUUUGGACAUACAACUAAAUAACUCGAGCACACUUUAUUUAUCAACUUCCAUUGCCUGAGCAGCUUUAGCUUUAGCCAAUGGCGUCAAUUUGGUCUUCAACUUUUUCUUCCCAACUGAGAAACCACUUGCACCUUUCUUCUUCUUCUUCUCACUACCAUCCACCUACCCCAAGAAAAAUAUAGCAAACAAGAUUUCAUUCUCAAAAAUUAAAAGUGAUUCAAACUUUAAUACAUAUAUAAACGAGCUAUUUUUUCUAAGUCUGAAAUUUUAACAAGUUUUGAAGCUUGCUUCAAAUAAUCAACUUUUCAUUACAAAUGAAGGCAAAACAUACAUUACAACAAAGCAAUGUGAACCAGAAAAAGCACCAUUCUUUUAUUUAUAAGUGAAUAUAUUGCAAUUAACUGCCAAAACAGGGGCCGCACCCAUGUACAUAUAGGGUGUAUACAAAAGGCAAAGGAGAAACAAAAACCUCCCAAGCUCAACGACUCUAACACCGCCAUAAAAAAUAGCAUAGAAAAAGGCCCUGGAUCACCCAUAAAAUAAAACACACUAAGGAGUCUAAACCCCUAGAGCAACCCAGGAAAAUAAAGUGUAAUACAGUUACGGACGAGCAAAAAAUAAACCAAAUUCUGAACAAUCAGGGCGAUUGAAUCACUUCUUUCAUAAAUCAAUACCCACUUCCUUGCCUAUAAUUUCCUAACCCAAUUCAUACUAAUUUUUAAGUAUUCUUUCAGUAAUCAACUUUUCAUUGACUAGUCAAAGCAAGAUUAAAUGCCUACACAAACAUUCCAAUAUCAAAACCAUAAGAGCUCAGGAAAAAGGAAUUAUAAUAAUAUAGAUAGCUAUGAGCCAAAAAUUAUCCAAAUUCACGAUAGAUAAAUAGAGAGUUACCUUCAUCUUGUUCUCCCCUAAUUUUCCAAAUUUACAUAAUAAACAGAAUUAGAUAACUGAAACAAAUAUCUACGGAAACAAAUAAAUAAAUAUAUACAUAUACACACAGAGAGAAAGAUACAAUUUUGUGGGUUUGAGAAGUUUUACUUUGCAUUUCGAAUUCAUGCUGUCUUUUCCUGCGAGCUAAAUCGUUCUUCUUCGACAUUUUGAUGCAGUUUCCCCUAGCAAGUCCUCUGCUUUCUGGUUCUUCCUCUAGUCCUUCCUUUAAACCCUAACCCUCAUUUUUUGGGUCGCCAACCGGAUGGAUUGAUUCAUAUAAAAGGCAAAUUGCUUCAACUGUUC
RNAcentral lists this long non-coding RNA (1696 nucleotides) under Panax ginseng (ginseng). RNAcentral describes it as "long non-coding RNA (PGIN_LNC012526)". The record is from RNAcentral. Lineage: Eukaryota; Viridiplantae; Streptophyta; Magnoliopsida; Apiales; Araliaceae.